AAGUCGUAACAAGGUUUCCGUAGGUGAACCUGCGGAAGGAUCAUUAUCGAGUUUGAAAAGGGUUGUAGCUGGUCUUUCACGAGGCAUGUGCACACCCUACUCAUCACUCAACACCUGUGCACACUAUGUAGGUUUAGACGAGCAUCGGGGCCCUCGUGCCUCGGUAGGAGUCUGCCUAUGUCUUUAUAAACUCUGUUUAGUAUACGAAUGUACUUGCGAUAAAACGCAUCUUAUACAACUUUCAGCAACGGAUCUCUUGGCUCUC
Molecule: unclassified non-coding RNA, 265 nt
Filed under: fungal sp.
Lineage: Eukaryota; Fungi
Description: partial internal transcribed spacer region
Rfam family: Eukaryotic small subunit ribosomal RNA (bases 1-46)
Source: RNAcentral